GGCUGUGAGGGUGAUCUGGCUGUGAUAUCUGUCACCCCACUGAUCGCCAGGGUUGACUCGGCAGACCUGGCUGGCUGGCGGGUGUCUCCUUCCUCCCUCACCGCUCCCCAGGUCCCUCCCGGAGCUGAGGACCACCACCCCACGCAGGAGGGCAUUCCUCGGUUUAGGGUAUACCAGCAGCUGCUCUCCCCUGCUAGGACCUCCAGACAAACUGUCAAGGUCCAGAAGCGGGGUGCACAGUGAAUCUGAGGGAAACACAGGCCCAGGAAGGCAUGCGCAGCAUGGUGCAGAGGUGG
Molecule: small nuclear RNA, 296 nt
Filed under: Chinchilla lanigera (long-tailed chinchilla)
Lineage: Eukaryota; Metazoa; Chordata; Mammalia; Rodentia; Chinchillidae
Description: 7SK RNA (ENSCLAG00000021702.1)
Rfam family: 7SK RNA
About the family: 7SK was discovered as an abundant small nuclear RNA in the mid-70s but a possible function has only recently been suggested. Two independent studies have found that 7SK RNA binds the CDK9/cyclin T complex (known as elongation factor P-TEFb). P-TEFb activates transcription by phosphorylating the C-terminal domain of RNA polymerase II.
Source: Rfam by way of RNAcentral